RNAcentral lists this ribosomal RNA (3024 nucleotides) under activated sludge metagenome. RNAcentral describes it as "bacterial LSU rRNA". It matches the Rfam family "Bacterial large subunit ribosomal RNA". The record is from RNAcentral.
GUAAGGGCGGACGGGGGAUCCCUUGGCAGUCGAGGGCGAUGAAGGGCGCGGCCAGCUGCGAUAAGCCCCGGGGAGUCGCUGAGCAGGCUAUGAUCCGAGGAUGCCCGAAUGGGGAAACCCACUGGACCGUUGAGGCCCAGUAUCCAGAGCCGAAACACCCAAGUAGGCUCUGGAGGCAAACCCCGUGAAGUGAAACAUCUCAGUAGCGGGAGGAAAAGAAAUCAACCGAGAUUCCCCUAGUAGCGGCGAGCGAACGGGGAACAGCCCAAACCACGUGGGUGUAAGGCCACAGCCGUUGCCCAGGUGGGGUUGAGGGAUGAUCAUGGAGGCCCCUGUGGGGGCCUCGGGGAGUUACCAAAGCUUUUUCUAGCCGAACAGCCAGCAAAGCCACUGGAAAGGGCGACCGGAGAGGGCGACAGUCCCGUAGGCGAAAGGGGGAGCUCUUCCUGGUGAUCAUCCCGAGUAGUGUCGGACACGUGAAAUCCGGCGCGAAGCUGGGGGGACCACCCUCCAAGGCUAAAUACCAACGACUGACCGAUAGUGCACCAGUACCACGAGGGAAAGGUGAAAAGGACCCCGGGAGGGGAGUGAAAUAGAACGUGAAACCGUCCGCCUACAGUGCAGUGGGAGCCCGCACCCGGUUCCGCAAGGGGCCAGGGACGGGUGACCGCGUGCCUUUUGCAGUAUGAGCCGGCGAGUUGCGCUUCGUGGCGAGGUUAAGCCCCUCUGGGGCGGAGCCGUAGCGAAAGCGAGUCCGAAUAGGGCGUCCAGUCACGGGGCGCAGACCCGAAGCCAGGUGAUCUACCCAUGAGCAGGAUGAAGUGCGCUUGACCGCGCACGGAGGUCCGAACCCGUAGGUCGUGCAACGCCUUGGGAUGACUUGUGGGUAGGGGUGAAAAGCCAAUCGCACUUGGUGAUAUCUGGUUCUCCCCGAAAUGGCUCUAGGGUCAGCCUCACGCUCGAGGCGGCCGGGGGUAGAGUGCUGGCUGGGGAAGGGGGGCAACCUCUGACCUCAUUCAAACUCCGAAUACCGGUUCGCCGCUCCGUGGGAGUGAGACGGCGGGGGAUAACCUCCGUUGUCGAGAGCGAAACAACGCAGACCACCAGCUAAGGCCCCCAAAUCCAGGCUAAGUGAGCAAGGCGGUGUGACCGCCUAAACAGCUGGGAGGUUGGCUUAGAAGCAGCCAUCCUUUAAAGAGUGCGUAAUAGCUCACCAGUCUAGCGACCGCGCGCCGAAGAUGUAGCGGGACUAAGCCUGGUGCCGAAGCUGUGGGUGGGGUCCGCAAGGGCCCCGCGGUAGGGGAGCAUUCCGCUGUAGGUCGAAGCUGGGCCGCGAGACCCGGUGGACGACGCGGAAGAGAGAAUGCCGGCUUGAGUAGCGAGAGAUGGGUGAGAAUCCCAUCCACCGAAUGCCCAAGGUUUCCUGGGGAAGGCUUAUCCACCCAGGGUUAGGCGGGCCUUAGCCAAAGCUGAAAAGCGUAGGUGAUGGACAGCCGGUCAACAUUCCGGCCCCUCCAGAUCAGCGUUACGAGCGAAGGGGGGACGCCGCAGGAGGACCUCCGCAGGUUCACGGUUACACCUGCCCAAGCGCCAAGCCAGGGGAGGCAGGCAAAUCCACCUCCCCGAGACCGUCCUGUCUCGCCUCCGGGCGAGGCGGGACGAACAGGCGAGGCGUGAUGGCGAGCCCCGUAAGGGGCGAAGGGAGGGCCCUUCAGCGGCCGAGAAAAGCCUCUAGCCAGCUGAUCUGGAGUCCGUACCGCAAACCGACACUGGUGGGCGAGGAGAGUAUCCACAGGUGGGCGAGCUAACCCUUGUCAAGGAACUCGGCAAAAUCGCCCCGUAACUUCGGGACAAGGGGCGCCUCUUGGGUUGCCGGAAGGUGGCCUGGGGGGCCGCAGAGAAACGGCUCAAGCGACUGUUUACCAAAAACACAGGUCCCUGCUAACCCGAAAGGGGAUGUAUAGGGGCUGAAACCUGGCCACUGCCGGUAGGUCAAGGAGAGGGGUGCAAGCUCUGAACUGAAGCCCCGGUGAAGGCCGGCCGUAACUAUAACGGUCCUAAGGUAGCGAAAUUCCUUGUCGGGUAAGUUCCGACGCGCAUGAAAGGUACAACGACUUGAGCGCUGUCUUGACGAGGGGCUCGGUGAACUCGAAGCACGGGUGAAGAUUCCCGUGACCCGCGGUGGGACAGGAAGACCCCGUGGAGCUUCACUGUAGCUUGGCGUUGGGUCUCGGCAUCUGCUGUAGAGGAUAGGUGGGAGGCUGUGAAGCCUGGGCGCUAGCUCAGGUGGAGCCGACCUUGGAAUACCACCCUGCAGCUGUUGAGGCCCUAACCGCAGGCCGUUAGCAGCGGCCGCGGGACCGCGCUAGGCGGGCAGUUUUGCUGGGGCGGCAGCCUCCUAAAGAGUAACGGAGGCGCACAAAGGUCCCCUCAGGCUGGUUAGCGAUCAGCCGGUGAGUGCAAGGGCAGAAGGGGGCUUGACUGCGAGGCCUACAAGCCGAGCAGAGGCGAAAGCCGGUCCUAGUGACCCGCUGGCUUCCUCGUGGGAGGGCCAGCGAUCAUCGGACAAAAGUUACCCCGGGGAUAACAGGCUAGUACCGCCCGAGAGUUCACAUCGACGGCGGUGUUCGGCACCUCGAUGUCGGCUCACCCCAUCCUGGGGCUGUAUCAGGUCCCAAGGGUCGGUCUGUUCGCCCGUUAAAGGGGUUCAUGAGCUGGGUUCAAACCGUCGUGAGACAGGUUGGUCCCUAUCUACCGUGGGCGUAGGAGGCUUGAGGGGGUCCGCUCUCAGUACGAGAGGACCGGAGCGGCUGGGCCGCUGGCGAACCAGUUGCCUCACCCGGGGCAUGGCUGGGUAACUAAGCCCGGACCGGAUAAGAGCUGAAGGCAUCUAAGCUCGAAGCUGACCCCAAGAUGAGGCCUCCCCAUGUAAGGGCCCUUCGAGACUAGGAGGUUGAUAGGCCGCAGGUGGAAGCCCGGCAACGGGUGGAGCCGAGCGGUACUAAUCGCCCGAUCGUCUUACGU